CUUUCCUCCGCUCUUUUUCUUCACCGUCUUCUACUGACAUCUAGCUGCUACCUGCCAUCAUAACUCAACCACCGUCGUCCCUCUACGAUUGUUUACAGCCACGAAACACAUCGAAGCUGGCAAGGCACUAUGUUCGCCACAACUCUCCCAGAAUGUCCUCCUUCCAACAUUUUAUUUGAGGUUGCCCAUCUCAGUUGUCCACUAUGAUUUACACAGCAAUUGACAUAUUCUACAUAACUGAUGAGCAACUAAAGAACUCACCUUCCAGGAAAGAUGGUAUAAAUGAAGCAACUGAAACAACCCUUAGAAUUUAUGGUUGCGAUCUCAUCCAAAAAAGCAACAUUUUACUGAGACUUUAUGUUGUUAUAUUGUUCUUAUUAUUUUUUUAAUAGAAAUGCAAUUGGUACAUACAAUUCUUAUAUCUCUUAUUUUUUAUUUGUUUGUUUACCUUAAUCUUAUCAUGUUAGACCUCAAGCAGUAAUGGCCACUGGCCAAGUUUUGUUCCAUCGCUACUGCAAGAAGUAAUUUGUCCGUUUCAAUGUAAAGAGAGUUGCUUCCAGUUAUGUUUGGCUAGCAUCAAAAUUGGAGGAAAACCCUCGAAAAGCAAGGCAAAUCCUCAUUGUUUUCCACAUAAUGGAAUACAGGAAGGAGUACUUACCUGUUGUGCACUUGGACCCAUUUUCUAAGAAAUAUGCUGAAUUGAAGACUAAUUUGAGCAGAACUGAAAGACACAUUUUGAAAGAGAUGGGUUUUAUUUGUCAUGUGGAGCAUUCUCAUAAAUUCACAUCAAACUAAAUUGCCACCCUAAAAACUCCUCCAGAAUUGAGGCAAGAAGCUUGGAAUCUUGCAAAUGAUAGGAAAUUUUGCAUAGCGGCCCAUCAGCUAAUAAUGGUACUGUCACUCCCAAAGAAGCUUCCAAGUUGAUUAAUUCAGAAUCAGGCGAGUCCAAGAAUUCAAUGGUAAAACGUGCCCUUGACAUCUUGGAGGAAUCCAAAAAGGGUGAUGAUGAUCCCAAGAGAAGAGUCCAUACUAUCCAAGUCUGAGCAUAGAACAGAGGCAAGUGGGGAAAGGAACAAUGAGAGAGACAAGGAUAGGGAAAGAGAGAGAAAUGGACAUGGAAAGUGAACCUUGAUAGAGAAAGGGAUUCGAAUAAAGAACAGGAACGAGAUGAGAUUGAUGAGGACUGAGAGAAAGUGAAGGAUAGAAAACAUCGGUCUAUGAUUCUGGUGUGUUUACCUGGUUACGUAAAGAGAUAGCAUUCCUUGGCUCUCUGAUUCUGGUGUGUUUAUGCAAUAAGUUUUCAGAAUGGCUCGUCUUGCUUGUCCUACUUUUUACAUUUAAAUGUAAAGGAUUGAGAUGGGAAGUAAAUAAUUAAGCCUUUUAUUAUUUUUGUUGAGCAUGGGA
RNA transcript from Vitis riparia (riverbank grape), 1404 nucleotides. RefSeq lists it as uncharacterized. The transcript is spliced from 5 exons. The record is from RefSeq and is a predicted model, not a curated record. NCBI's taxonomy places the organism in Eukaryota, Viridiplantae, Streptophyta, Magnoliopsida, Vitales, Vitaceae.